RNAcentral lists this ribosomal RNA (119 nucleotides) under Adineta vaga. The record is from RNAcentral. Lineage: Eukaryota; Metazoa; Rotifera; Eurotatoria; Adinetida; Adinetidae.
GCUUACGACCAUACCACGUUGAAUACACCAGUUCUCGUCCGAUCACUGAAGUUAAGCAACGUCGGGCUCGGUUAGUACUUGGAUGGGUGACCGCCUGGGAAUACCGAGUGUCGUAAGCU